Molecule: ribosomal RNA, 253 nt
Filed under: uncultured bacterium
Lineage: Bacteria
Description: partial 16S ribosomal RNA
Rfam family: Bacterial small subunit ribosomal RNA
Source: RNAcentral
UACGUAGGGCGCAAGCGUUGUCCGGAAUUAUUGGGCGUAAAGAGCUCGUAGGCGGCCUGUCACGUCGGGUGUGAAAGCUUGGGGCUUAACUCCAGGUCUGCAUUCGAUACGGGCUGGCUAGAGGUAGGUAGGGGAGAGCGGAAUUCCUGGUGUAGCGGUGAAAUGCGCAGAUAUCAGGAGGAACACCGGUGGCGAAGGCGGGAUCCUGGGCCAGUACUGACGCUGAGGAGCGAAAGCGUGGGGAGCAAACAGG